This 503-nucleotide ribosomal RNA is filed under the name uncultured bacterium. RNAcentral's name for it is "partial 16S ribosomal RNA". It matches the Rfam family "Bacterial small subunit ribosomal RNA", at positions 30 to 523 of the family's 1533-position model. The record is from RNAcentral.
AUUGAACGCUGGCGGCAGGCUUAACACAUGCAAGUCGAGCGGGGUGAUGGUGCUUGCACUAUCACUUAGCGGCGGACGGGUGAGUAAUGCUUAGGAAUCUGCCUAUUAGUGGGGGACGACAUCUCGAAAGGGAUGCUAAUACCGCAUACGUCCUACGGGAGAAAGCAGGGGAUCACUUGUGACCUUGCGCUAAUAGAUGAGCCAAAGUCGGAUUAGCUAGUUGGUGGGGUAAAGGCCUACCAAGGCGACGAUCUGUAGCGGGUCUGAGAGGAUGAUCCGCCACAGUGGGACUGAGACACGUCCCAGAUUCCUACGGGAGGCAGCAGUGGGGAAUAUUGGACAAUGGGGGGAACCCUGAUCCAGCCAUGCCGCGUGUGUGAAGAAGGCCUUAUGGUUGUAAAGCACUUUAAGCGAGGAGGAGGCUCUUUUGGUUAAUACCCAAGAUGAGUGGACGUUACUCGCAGAAUAAGCACCGGCUAACUCUGUGCCAGCCGCCGCCGUAA